GGAGAGCUGACCGAGAGGCCGAAGGUGCUCGCCUGCUAAGCGAGUAACGGGCAAAACCCGUUCCAGGGUUCGAAUCCCUGGCUCUCCGCCA
This 91-nucleotide transfer RNA is filed under the name Coriobacteriales bacterium. RNAcentral's name for it is "tRNA-Ser". It matches the Rfam family "tRNA". From Rfam's summary of the family: Transfer RNA (tRNA) molecules are approximately 80 nucleotides in length. The record is from RNAcentral. Lineage: Bacteria; Bacillati; Actinomycetota; Coriobacteriia; Coriobacteriales.